GCCUGGGUGGUGGAACUGGUAGACACAGCGGACUUAAAAUCCGCCGAUUGGAAACGAUCGUACGGGUUCGAUUCCCGUCCUGGGCA
Molecule: transfer RNA, 86 nt
Filed under: Leptothrix cholodnii SP-6
Lineage: Bacteria; Pseudomonadati; Pseudomonadota; Betaproteobacteria; Burkholderiales; Sphaerotilaceae
Rfam family: tRNA
About the family: Transfer RNA (tRNA) molecules are approximately 80 nucleotides in length.
Source: Rfam by way of RNAcentral